Oncorhynchus tshawytscha (Chinook salmon) is the source of this 286-nucleotide long non-coding RNA. The record is from Ensembl. Lineage: Eukaryota; Metazoa; Chordata; Actinopteri; Salmoniformes; Salmonidae.
CCCCCUCAUCCAGCAGACAGGACACCCACCAGUCCCCUGUACCCCACCAUGUCCCCUCAUCCAGCAGGCAGGACACCCACCAGUCCCCUGUACCCCACCAUGUCCCCUCAUCCAGCAGACAGGACACCCACCAGUCCCCUGUACCCCACCAUGUCCCCUCAUCCAGCAGACAGGACACCCACCAUUCCCCUGUACCCCACCAUGUCCCCUCAUCCAGCAGGCAGGACACCCACCAGUCCCCUGUACCCCACCAUGUUCUCUCAUCCAGCAGACAGGACACCCACCA